AUGACUUUAAAUAGCAUUGGACCAACUAUCUCGGAUUUCAAGGAAUUUAAUUAUGAUAAUUGUUCUUUAGAAGGUUGUAUUUCCUUGUUGCAAUCCGUUGCUAAUUCUCCUCAUGCUUAUAGUCAAAAUAAAGCUUUUACCGAACAUAUCGUUGAUGCCUUGAUGCAAUCUUAUGAUGAAAAACUUAAUUUGGAAGUUUCUAUACCUAGAAAACUUAAUGAUGAGUGGGAACCUACUAUAAAGAUUAAAAUUAAAGAUCAUGAGUGUUUUGCUUUGUGCGGUUUGGGUGGUAGUGUUUCCACGAUUCCGAAAACUUUAUGUGAUAUUCUAGGUUUCCAUGAUCUUGAUGAUUGCUCUUUAAGUUUGCACCUUGCAGAUUCCACCAUUAAAAAGCCAAUGGGAAGGAUCAAUGAUGUUCUCAUAGUUGCAAAUAGAAAUUUGGUACCCGUAGAUUUUAUCGUUCUUGAUAUAGAUUGCAAUCUUUCUUGCCCUAUUAUUCUUGGUAGACCUUUCAUUAGAACGAUUGGCACGAUUAUCGAUAUGAAGGAAGGGAAUAUUAGAUUCCAAUUUCCAUUAAGGAAAGGCAUGGAGCACUUUCCAAGAAAAAUUAAAUUAAAUUAUCUUAUGAAUCUAUCAUGCGGGCUACUUAUGAAUUUAGUGCCAAAGAUGACACUACUUAGAUCUAUCUUCACUUUUAUGCCUAGCUAG
RNAcentral lists this ribosomal RNA (708 nucleotides) under Triticum aestivum (bread wheat). RNAcentral describes it as "partial small subunit ribosomal RNA". The record is from RNAcentral. Lineage: Eukaryota; Viridiplantae; Streptophyta; Magnoliopsida; Poales; Poaceae.